This 253-nucleotide ribosomal RNA is filed under the name uncultured bacterium. RNAcentral's name for it is "partial 16S ribosomal RNA". It matches the Rfam family "Bacterial small subunit ribosomal RNA", at positions 524 to 776 of the family's 1533-position model. The record is from RNAcentral.
UACGUAGGGUGCAAGCGUUGUCCGGAAUUAUUGGGCGUAAAGAGCUCGUAGGCGGUCUGUUGCGUCGGCUGUGAAAACCCGAGGCUCAACCUCGGGCCUGCAGCCGAUACGGGCAGACUAGAGUUCGGCAGGGGAGACUGGAAUUCCUGGUGUAGCGGUGAAAUGCGCAGAUAUCAGGAGGAACACCGGUGGCGAAGGCGGGUCUCUGGGCCGAUACUGACGCUGAGGAGCGAAAGCAUGGGGAGCGAACAGG